Molecule: long non-coding RNA, 790 nt
Filed under: Equus caballus (horse)
Lineage: Eukaryota; Metazoa; Chordata; Mammalia; Perissodactyla; Equidae
Description: lncRNA (ENSECAG00000054618.1)
Source: RNAcentral
UGCAGUAUCAAGCAACACUGCUGGAUUCUCGGCUACUCUUAAAAGCUUGCCAGGUCCUUAAUCCAGCCAACUUCCUUCCUGUCUCACAGGAUCCUCUGGCACGUGACUGUUCUGAGCUAGUAGAUCAGGUAUAUUCAAGAAGGAAAGACCUCCAAAGUGACCCUUGCAGGAUGCAGUGUAAGUGGGGUUUGUAGAUGGAAGCAGUUCUGUUGUUAAUGGUCAGCGCAGAGCAUGUUAUGCUGUGGUCUCCGUCCAUGCCACCACAGAUGCAAAGCUGCUCUCCCCAGGAGCAUCAGCACAAAAGGCAGAACUUAGUUUCCCUGAAAAGAGCAUUAGAAUUAGGAAAAAGAAUAAUUUUGACUAUCAAUACUGUUUCUAAAUAUGCCUUCUUUGUUAUUCAUGCUCACAGGGCCAUUUCUAAAGAAAGGGGUCUUUUGUCAGCCAAUAAAAUAUUUGCCGUUCCUUUGCCUUACUUACCAGUUAUGAGUUUUUUUCUCUCUUCAUUCUCUGUUUCCUCCCUCUGUCUAUAACCAAGCAUCAGAAACAGAAAAAAAGGAGCUGAAUAUGCUUGUGAUUGUUCGUAUGGUGGGAAUGUAGCUGCUGAUAGCUCCUGAAUCUGAUUCUGAUGCAAGACAUUACCACUGCAGUCUGGGAGACAAGGUCUGCAAGCCAGGAGGGGUAUCUGAGUCUGGGUGAUCACAAUUAGGCCAGGAACUCCAGGUGGUCAAAGCUUAAAGUGAAAGCUCACAAGUACCUGGGAAUCUGAAAACUCUUCUGCUGGAUCCUGAAC